This 457-nucleotide ribosomal RNA is filed under the name uncultured Coxiella sp. RNAcentral describes it as "bacterial SSU rRNA". It matches the Rfam family "Bacterial small subunit ribosomal RNA", at positions 977 to 1434 of the family's 1533-position model. Lineage: Bacteria; Pseudomonadati; Pseudomonadota; Gammaproteobacteria; Legionellales; Coxiellaceae. The record is from RNAcentral.
ACCCUUGACAUCCUCGGAACUUGUCAGAAAUGACUUGGUGCCUUCGGGAACCGAGUGACAGGUGCUGCAUGGCUGUCGUCAGCUCGUGUCGUGAGAUGUUGGGUUAAGUCCCGUAACGAGCGCAACCCUCGUCCUUAGUUGCCAGCGGUUCGGCCGGGAACUCUAAGGAGACUGCCGGUGAUAAACCGGAGGAAGGUGGGGAUGAUGUCAAGUCAUCAUGGCCCUUACGGGUAGGGCUACACACGUGCUACAAUGGGCAGUACAAAGGGUUGCCAAACCGUGAGGUGGAGCUAAUCCCAGAAAACUGCUCGUAGUCCGGAUUGAAGUCUGCAACUCGACUUCAUGAAGUUGGAAUCGCUAGUAAUCGCGAAUCAGAAUGUCGCGGUGAAUACGUUCUCGGGCCUUGUACACACCGCCCGUCACACCAUGGGAGUGAAUUGUACCAGAAGCGGGUAGG